Molecule: regulatory RNA element, 72 nt
Organism: Halostagnicola larsenii XH-48
Lineage: Archaea; Methanobacteriati; Methanobacteriota; Halobacteria; Halobacteriales; Natrialbaceae
Rfam family: S15-Halobacteria ribosomal protein leader
Source: Rfam
GUGGGAACCGCACGGCCGCAAAUCUGACCCCGUCGCCCGCUCUCUUUGGGCGACUCGAGAUUGCGGAAGUGC